This 592-nucleotide ribosomal RNA is filed under the name uncultured fungus. Its description in RNAcentral is "eukaryotic LSU rRNA". It matches the Rfam family "Eukaryotic large subunit ribosomal RNA", at positions 37 to 652 of the family's 3401-position model. Lineage: Eukaryota; Fungi. The record is from RNAcentral.
AGCAUAUCAAUAAGCGGAGGAAAAGAAACCAACAGGGAUUGCCCUAGUAACGGCGAGUGAAGCGGCAACAGCUCAAAUUUGAAAUCUGGCUCUCGGGCCCGAGUUGUAAUUUGUAGAGGAUGCUUUUGAUGCGGUGCCUUCCGAGUUCCCUGGAACGGGACGCCAUAGAGGGUGAGAGCCCCGUCUGGUUGGAUACCAAAUCUCUGUAAAGCUCCUUCGACGAGUCGAGUAGUUUGGGAAUGCUGCUCUAAAUGGGAGGUAUAUGUCUUCUAAAGCUAAAUACUGGCCAGAGACCGAUAGCGCACAAGUAGAGUGAUCGAAAGAUGAAAAGCACUUUGAAAAGAGAGUUAAAAAGUACGUGAAAUUGUUGAAAGGGAAGCGUUUAUGACCAGACUUGGGCUUGGAUAAUCAUCUGNGGUUCUCCCCAGUGCACUUUUCCAGUCCAGGCCAGCAUCAGUUUUCGCCGGGGGAUAAAGGCUUCGGGAAUGUGGCUCCCUCCGGGGAGUGUUAUAGCCCGUUGCGUAAUACCCUGGCGGGGACUGAGGUUCGCGCAUCUGCAAGGAUGCUGGCGUAAUGGUCAUCAACGACCCGU